RNAcentral lists this ribosomal RNA (438 nucleotides) under uncultured bacterium. RNAcentral's name for it is "partial 16S ribosomal RNA". It matches the Rfam family "Bacterial small subunit ribosomal RNA", at positions 339 to 795 of the family's 1533-position model. The record is from RNAcentral.
CUACGGGGUGCAGCAGUGAGGAAUAUUGCACAAUGGGGGAACCCUGAUGCAGCAACGCCGCGUGGAGGAUGACGCAUUUCGGUGUGUAAACUCCUUUUAUAUGUCAAGAAAAUGACGGUAGCAUAUGAAUAAGCACCGGCUAACUCCGUGCCAGCAGCCGCGGUAAUACGGAGGGUGCAAGCGUUACUCGGAAUCACUGGGCGUAAAGGACGCGUAGGCGGGUUGGAAAGUCAGGUGUGAAGUCCUACAGCUUAACUGUAGAACUGCACUUGAAACUUCUAAUCUAGAGUAUGGGAGGGGGAGAUGGAAUUAGUGGUGUAGGGGUAAAAUCCGUAGAUAUCACUAGGAAUACCUAAAGCGAAGGCGAUCUCCUGGAACAUUACUGACGCUAAGGCGUGAAAGCGUGGGGAGCAAACAGGAUUAGAUACCCUCGUAGUC